RNAcentral lists this ribosomal RNA (679 nucleotides) under uncultured bacterium. Its description in RNAcentral is "bacterial SSU rRNA". It matches the Rfam family "Bacterial small subunit ribosomal RNA", at positions 28 to 722 of the family's 1533-position model. The record is from RNAcentral.
GAUGAACGCUAGCGGCGUGCCUAAUGCAUGCAAGUCGAACGGGAUCCUUUGGACUCGUCUGAAGGUGAGAGUGGCGAACGGGUGAGUAACACGUUGGUGACCUGCCCCAGAGAGGGGGAUAACUACUGGAAACGGUAGCUAAUACCCCGGAUGUUAUUGUGCUUAGAAAGCAAUAACUAAAGCUCCGGCGCUCUGGGAGGGGCCUGCGGCCCAUCAGCUUGUUGGUAGGGUAAUGGCCUACCAAGGCAAAGACGGGUAGGGGGCGUGAGAGCGUGACCCCCCACACUGGUACUGAGACACGGACCAGAUACCUGCGGGUAGCAGCAGCAAGGAAUAUUGCCCAAUGGACGAAAGUCUGAGGCAGCAACGCCGCGUGGAGGAUGAAGGCCUUCGGGUUGUAAACUCCUUUUCUGGGGGAAUAGAAAGGAAGGUACCCCAGGAAUAAGUCUCGGCUAACUACGUGCCAGCAGCCGCGGUAAAACGUAGGAGGCGAGCGUUAUCCGGAUUUACUGGGCGUAAAGCGCAUGCAGGCGGUUUUCUAAGUCGGACGUGAAAGCUCUCGGCUCAACUGGGAGAGGCCGUUCGAAACUAGGAGACUUGAGGGUGGUAGAGGAGAGUGGAAUUCCCCGGUGUAGUGGUGAAAUGCGUAGAUAUCGGGAGGAACACCAGUGGCGAAGGC